CAGUCGCCGCGGUAAUACGAAGGGGGCUAGCGUUACUCGGAAUUACUGGGCGUAAAGGGCGCGUAGGCGGCACGAUUAGUCAGGCGUGAAAUUCCUGGGCUCAACCUGGGGACUGCGCUUGAUACGGUCGAGCUAGAGGAUGGAAGAGGGUCGUGGAAUUCCCAGUGUAGAGGUGAAAUUCGUAGAUAUUGGGAAGAACACCGGUGGCGAAGGCGGCGACCUGGUCCAUUACUGACGCUGAGGCGCGACAGCGUGGGGAGCAAACAGGAUUAGAUACCCCUGUAGUCCCUGUCUCUUAUAC
RNAcentral lists this ribosomal RNA (301 nucleotides) under uncultured bacterium. Its description in RNAcentral is "partial 16S ribosomal RNA". It matches the Rfam family "Bacterial small subunit ribosomal RNA", at positions 509 to 807 of the family's 1533-position model. The record is from RNAcentral.